Molecule: ribosomal RNA, 707 nt
Filed under: uncultured bacterium
Lineage: Bacteria
Description: bacterial SSU rRNA
Rfam family: Bacterial small subunit ribosomal RNA
Source: RNAcentral
GAACGGGUGAGUAANGCGUGAGGAACCUGCCUCAAAGAGGGGGACAACAGUUGGAAACGACUGCUAAUACCGCAUAAGCCCACGGGUCGGCAUCGACCAGAGGGAAAAGGAGCAAUCCGCUUUGAGAUGGCCUCGCGUCCGAUUAGCUAGUUGGUGAGGUAAUGGCCCACCAAGGCGACGAUCGGUAGCCGGACUGAGAGGUUGAACGGCCACAUUGGGACUGAGACACGGCCCAGACUCCUACGGGAGGCAGCAGUGGGGAAUAUUGCACAAUGGGGGAAACCCUGAUGCAGCGACGCCGCGUGGAGGAAGAAGGUCUUCGGAUUGUAAACUCCUGUUGUUGAGGAAGAUAAUGACGGUACUCAACAAGGAAGUGACGGCUAACUACGUGCCAGCAGCCGCGGUAAAACGUAGGUCACAAGCGUUGUCCGGAAUUACUGGGUGUAAAGGGAGCGCAGGCGGGAAGACAAGUUGGAAGUGAAAUCUAUGGGCUCAACCCAUAAACUGCUUUCAAAACUGUUUUUCUUGAGUAGUGCAGAGGUAGGCGGAAUUCCCGGUGUAGCGGUGGAAUGCGUAGAUAUCGGGAGGAACACCAGUGGCGAAGGCGGCCUACUGGGCACCAACUGACGCUGAGGCUCGAAAGUGUGGGUAGCAAACAGGAUUAGAUACCCUGGUAGUCCACACCGUAAACGAUGAUUACUAGGUGU